RNAcentral lists this ribosomal RNA (253 nucleotides) under uncultured bacterium. Its description in RNAcentral is "partial 16S ribosomal RNA". It matches the Rfam family "Bacterial small subunit ribosomal RNA", at positions 524 to 776 of the family's 1533-position model. The record is from RNAcentral.
UACGAAGGGGGCUAGCGUUGCUCGGAAUCACUGGGCGUAAAGGGUGCGCAGGUGGCAUGGCAAGUUUGAUGUGAAAGCUCAGGGCUCAACCCUGAAAUGGCAUUGAAUACUGCUGUGCUGGAGGUUUGGAGGGGGGACUGGAAUUCUUGGUGUAGCAGUGAAAUGCGUAGAUAUCAAGAGGAACACCAGUGGCGAAGGCGAGUCCCUGGACAACACCUGACACUGAGGAGCGAAAGCCAGGGGAGCAAACGGG